This 253-nucleotide ribosomal RNA is filed under the name uncultured bacterium. RNAcentral describes it as "partial 16S ribosomal RNA". It matches the Rfam family "Bacterial small subunit ribosomal RNA", at positions 524 to 776 of the family's 1533-position model. The record is from RNAcentral.
UACGUAGGGCGCAAGCGUUGUCCGGAAUUAUUGGGCGUAAAGGGCUCGUAGGUGGCCAACUAAGUCAGACGUGAAAUCCCUCAGCUUAACUGGGGAACUGCGUCUGAUACUGGAUGGCUUGAGUUUGGGAGAGGGAUGCGGAAUUCCAGGUGUAGCGGUGAAAUGCGUAGAUAUCUGGAGGAACACCGGUGGCGAAGGCGGCAUCCUGGACCAACACUGACACUGAGGAGCGAAAGCCAGGGGAGCAAACGGG